AGCGGCGGACGGGUGAGUAACGCGUGGGUAACCUGCCUCAUACAGGGGGAUAACAGUUGGAAACGGCUGCUAAUACCGCAUAAGCGCACAGUACCGCAUGGUACGGUGUGAAAAACUCCGGUGGUAUGAGAUGGACCCGCGUCUGAUUAGGUAGUUGGUGGGGUAACGGCCUACCAAGCCGACGAUCAGUGGCCGACCUGAGAGGGUGACCGGCCACAUUGGGACUGAGACACGGCCCAA
Molecule: ribosomal RNA, 240 nt
Filed under: uncultured bacterium
Lineage: Bacteria
Description: partial 16S ribosomal RNA
Rfam family: Bacterial small subunit ribosomal RNA
Source: RNAcentral